This 228-nucleotide ribosomal RNA is filed under the name uncultured prokaryote. RNAcentral describes it as "partial 16S ribosomal RNA". It matches the Rfam family "Bacterial small subunit ribosomal RNA", at positions 524 to 751 of the family's 1533-position model. The record is from RNAcentral.
UACGGAGGGUGCAAGCGUUAAUCGGAAUUACUGGGCGUAAAGCGCGCGUAGGUGGUUUGUUAAGUUGGAUGUGAGAUCCCCGGGCUCAACCUGGGAACUGCAUCCAAAACUGGCAAGCUAGAGUAGGGCAGAGGGUGGUGGAAUUCCCAGUGUAGAGGUGAAAUUCGUAGAUAUUGGGAAGAACACCGGUGGCGAAGGCGGCGACCUGGUCCGAUACUGACGCUGAGG